This 77-nucleotide transfer RNA is filed under the name Vibrio cholerae. Its description in RNAcentral is "tRNA-Arg". It matches the Rfam family "tRNA". Rfam says of the family: Transfer RNA (tRNA) molecules are approximately 80 nucleotides in length. Their secondary structure includes four short double-helical elements and three loops (D, anti-codon, and T loops). The record is from RNAcentral. Lineage: Bacteria; Pseudomonadati; Pseudomonadota; Gammaproteobacteria; Vibrionales; Vibrionaceae.
GCGUCCGUAGCUCAGCUGGAUAGAGUACCUGGCUACGAACCAGGCGGCCAGAGGUUCGAAUCCUCUCGGACGCGCCA